AUUUUUUGGAGAGUUUGAUCCUGGCUCAGGACGAACGCUGGCGGCGUGCUUAACACAUGCAAGUCGAGCGGAAAGGCCCUUCGGGGUACUCGAGCGGCGAACGGG
This 105-nucleotide ribosomal RNA is filed under the name Nonomuraea maritima. RNAcentral describes it as "16S rRNA. Bacterial SSU". It matches the Rfam family "Bacterial small subunit ribosomal RNA", at positions 1 to 106 of the family's 1533-position model. Lineage: Bacteria; Bacillati; Actinomycetota; Actinomycetes; Streptosporangiales; Streptosporangiaceae. The record is from RNAcentral.